This 497-nucleotide ribosomal RNA is filed under the name uncultured bacterium. RNAcentral describes it as "partial 16S ribosomal RNA". It matches the Rfam family "Bacterial small subunit ribosomal RNA", at positions 28 to 507 of the family's 1533-position model. The record is from RNAcentral.
GACGAACGCUGGCGGCGUGCCUAAUACAUGCAAGUAGAACGCUGAAGCGAGGAGCUUGCUCUUCUUGGAUGAGUUGCGAACGGGUGAGUAACGCGUAGGUAACCUGCCUUGUAGCGGGGGAUAACUAUUGGAAACGAUAGCUAAUACCGCAUAACAAUGGAUGACACAUGUCAUUUAUUUGAAAGGGGCAAUUGCUCCACUACAAGAUGGACCUGCGUUGUAUUAGCUAGUAGGUGAGGUAAUGGCUCACCUAGGCGACGAUACAUAGCCGACCUGAGAGGGUGAUCGGCCACACUGGGACUGAGACACGGCCCAGACUCCUACGGGAGGCAGCAGUAGGGAAUCUUCGGCAAUGGGGGCAACCCUGACCGAGCAACACCGCGGGAGUGAAGAAGGGUUUCGGAUCGUAAAGCUCUGUUGUAAGUCAAGAACGGGUGUGAGAGUGGAAAGUUCACACUGUGACGGUAGCUUACCAGAAAGGGACGGCUAACUACGUG